Molecule: non-coding RNA, 70 nt
Organism: Gymnothorax javanicus (giant moray)
Lineage: Eukaryota; Metazoa; Chordata; Actinopteri; Anguilliformes; Muraenidae
Source: the annotation of a GenBank genome assembly
ACAUGGUAGCACAGUGGUUAGCGCUGUUGCCUCACAAUGAGGAGGUUCCAGAAUCGAGUCCUGGUGGGUA